UGAGGAAUAUUGGUCAAUGGGCGAGAGCCUGAACCAGCCACGUCGCGUGAAGGAAGACUGACCUUACGGUUUGUAAACUUCUUUUGUAGAGGGGUAAUGGCAGAUACGUGUAUUUGCGUGAAAGUACUCUACGAAUAAGCAUCGGCUAACUCCGUGCCAGCAGCCGCGGUAAUACGGGGGAUGCGAGCGUUGUCCGGAAUUAUUGGGCGUAAAGCGCGCGCAGGUGGUUUAGAAAGUCUGAUGUGAAAGCCCACGGCUCUACCGUGGAGGGUCAUUGGAAACUAAUAAACUUGAGUGCAGGAGAGAAAAGUGGAAUUCCUAGUGUAGCGGUGAAAUGCGUAGAGAUUAGGAGGAAUACCGGUGGCGAAGGCGGCUUUUUGGCCUGCAACUGACACUGAGGCGCGAAAGCGUGGGGAGCAAACAGG
RNAcentral lists this ribosomal RNA (425 nucleotides) under Verrucomicrobiota bacterium. RNAcentral's name for it is "Verrucomicrobia bacterium partial 16S ribosomal RNA". It matches the Rfam family "Bacterial small subunit ribosomal RNA", at positions 355 to 776 of the family's 1533-position model. The record is from RNAcentral. Lineage: Bacteria; Pseudomonadati; Verrucomicrobiota.